CCUACGGGUGGCUGCAGUGAGGAAUAUUGGUCAAUGGACGAGAGUCUGAACCAGCCAAGUAGCGUGAAGGAUGACUGCCCUAUGGGUUGUAAACUUCUUUUAUAUGGGAAUAAAAUGUUCGACGGGGGGGAUUUUGUAUGUACCAUAUGAAUAAGGAUCGGAUAACUCCGUGCCAGCAGCCGCGGUAAGACGGAGGAUCCGAGCGUUAUCCGGAUUUAUUGGGUUUAAAGGGAGCGUAGGUGGAUUGUUAAGUCAGUUGUGAAAGUUUGCGGCUAAACCGUAAAAUUGCAGUUGAAACUGGCAGUCUUGAGUACAGUAGAGGUGGGCGGAAUUCGUGGUGUAGCGGUGAAAUGCUUAGAUAUCACGAAGAACUCCGAUUGCGAAGGCAGUUCACUGGACUGCAACUGACACUGAGGCUCGAAAGUGUGGGUAUCAAACAGGAUUAGAUACCCUUGUAGUC
Molecule: ribosomal RNA, 460 nt
Filed under: uncultured bacterium
Lineage: Bacteria
Description: partial 16S ribosomal RNA
Rfam family: Bacterial small subunit ribosomal RNA
Source: RNAcentral